RNAcentral lists this ribosomal RNA (739 nucleotides) under Candidatus Zambryskibacteria bacterium CG_4_9_14_3_um_filter_42_9. Its description in RNAcentral is "bacterial SSU rRNA". It matches the Rfam family "Bacterial small subunit ribosomal RNA", at positions 1 to 747 of the family's 1533-position model. Lineage: Bacteria; Candidatus Zambryskiibacteriota. The record is from RNAcentral.
UUUAGAGUUUGAUCCUAGCUCAGGAUGAACGCUGGCGGCGUGGAUGAGGCAUGCAAGUUAAACGGCUCUUAUCUCUUUCGCAAGAAAGUGGUAGCGGGCAGUGGCAAACGAGGUAGUAAUACAUAGGAACGUCCCCGGAAGUCUCGCAUAGCUCGCCGAAAGGCGGGGUAAUACGGGAUGUGGUAGAGAUAUCAAAGGAGCAAUCCGCUUACGGAACGGCCUGUGGAGUAUCAGCUAGUUGGUAGGGUAAUGGCCUACCAAGGCUAUGACACUUAGGGGACCUGAGAGGGUGACCCCCACCGAUGGGACUGAGACACGGCCCAUACACCUACGGGUGGCAGCAGCCGAGAAUAUUCGACAAUGGGCGAAAGCCUGAUCGAGCGACGCCGCGUGAUGGAUGAAGUCCCUAGGGACGUAAACAUCUUUUAUGAAGGAGAAAGUAGCGACGUUUACGUCGGUAUUGAUAGUACUUCAUGAAUAAGGGGUUGCUAAACUCGUGCCAGCAGCAGCGGUAAUACGAGUACCCCAAGCGUUAUCCGGAAUCAUUGGGCGUAAAGGGUGUGUAGGCGGUAUGGUUAGUCUUCUGUUAAAAUCUCGGGCUCAACUCGAGACUUGUGGAGGAAACGGCCAAACUUGAGGAUGUGAGAGGUGAAUGGAACUCAUGGUGUAGGGGUGAAAUCCGUUGAUAUCAUGGGGAACACCAAAAGCGAAGGCAAUUCACUGGCGCAUUUCUGACGCU